AAAAACCCAAAACCUUACAUGACGAGUUCAUGUAUGAUAAAGUUUAAAUUCCUACCAAAGCCAUAUAUGAUACAUUUAGAGUUAGGAAAACCUUUGCGCAUUCGUGCUGCUUGCUUUACAUUGAGUUUAGUCAACCUUUGGAGUAUACCUUGUGAGAGUCUUGUCAUGCUUUUAAAAUUAAGAUCACUUACGCACUCCACCCACAUAUGCAUUACUCCUACUCUGAGAUGUAAGCGCAGUCAUUUCCACUUUCAUCCAGAUCCACCUUAAAAAAAUGUUUUCUCCUACACUGGGAGUAAACACAAAAAAAUACCCUAUAGGACAGCCCCCACUUAAUUGCUCUAAGUUUUUAUCAUCAUCUCUCCAAUUAUUUAUAUUCAAAGGAUGCAUGUGGCUAUGCAAAAGUAUUUAACAAGAAAAAAAAGAAAGGGAGUAAAAGAUGGACAAGUGUCCCAACAAUUAAAACAAUGGGUACAUCGAUGCCCGCGUCCCAUAGUAAUGAAAAAAAGUGAGAAAGAGAGAAUAAAGAUAGCCUGUGUUUUCCUGUGAAAAGUUCUAAGGAGGG
Molecule: long non-coding RNA, 565 nt
Filed under: Sorghum bicolor (sorghum)
Lineage: Eukaryota; Viridiplantae; Streptophyta; Magnoliopsida; Poales; Poaceae
Description: long non-coding RNA (SBIC_LNC015691)
Source: RNAcentral